CUCACAUGAACCUCGCCUGCAACCUCUCCCUGCUCCCUUGGCCUGUCCACUCCUCUGCCUGAGUCACGACAGCAACCGGCCACAUGAACGCGGAGCUUCACGAGGGGCUGAGCGCUCCCUUGCGCGCCAGGACAUUUGCUCCUCCUAAGGACCUUCGAGAUAAGUUAUUGUUAGCUCCACCCAGCAGAAGCGCGAACUCGGGCCCAGGGAAGUCGUGGGGCCUGCCUGAGAUUGUGCAAGCGGUGAGCAGCAGGACCUGACUGGAAGUCUUGGGUUCUUACCGCGGGAUCCUUUCUGUCAGCGUCCCAGAGACACUGGGGCCGGGGGGAGUUGGCUGGAAGGGACGGACUUGGUUGGCUUCCAGCUGGGCCUCUUGUGGUGGCCUCGGGAGCAGGGGGAGCUGCUUUGGCGUCACCGCUCAACCUGAACCCUGUUGGGCGGCUCCUUGCGCGUGCAAAGAAAGGACCCUCUCCUCGGCCCUCAGACUUCCCACGUGACCUACGACAGGCAUUCAGACUCUUCUGGGCCUUUGCGUUCUGGAGCAGAAGGCUAUGGGAACCCAAACCUGGACUCAGGAAGGCAGAAGUGAGAGAGCAUAACUCGUUCAAAUCCACAUGUGUGAAUUGGGCGCCAGCCGCCGUGCACCCAGCAGGGACCAGAGCCUUUCUCUGCCUUGCCAGGUCUCAAGUGUAAAGGUGGGGACUGACAGAGGCAUCAGCCCGAGCUGGCCUCCUUACCAGAAGAACCCCAGCUUGGAUAUCUCACCUGCCUGGUUUGAAUCCUGGCUCUGCCACUUACCUGCUGUGUGUCUUUGGAUGACUUACUUAACUUCUCUGGGCCUCGAUUUCCCCAUUUGUAAAACUAGGAUAACUGUGCAGAUGGAUUAA
RNAcentral lists this long non-coding RNA (887 nucleotides) under Ursus maritimus (polar bear). RNAcentral's name for it is "lncRNA (ENSUMAG00000002212.1)". Lineage: Eukaryota; Metazoa; Chordata; Mammalia; Carnivora; Ursidae. The record is from RNAcentral.